UGGGGUUUGGCUCAGUGGUAGAGUGCUUACCUAGCAUGUGUGAGGCACUGGGUUCGAUUCUCAGCACCACAU
Molecule: transfer RNA, 72 nt
Filed under: Marmota monax (woodchuck)
Lineage: Eukaryota; Metazoa; Chordata; Mammalia; Rodentia; Sciuridae
Rfam family: tRNA
About the family: Transfer RNA (tRNA) molecules are approximately 80 nucleotides in length. Their secondary structure includes four short double-helical elements and three loops (D, anti-codon, and T loops). Further hydrogen bonds mediate the characteristic L-shaped molecular structure. tRNAs have two regions of fundamental functional importance: the anti-codon, which is responsible for specific mRNA codon recognition, and the 3' end, to which the tRNAs corresponding amino acid is attached (by aminoacyl-tRNA synthetases). tRNAs cope with the degeneracy of the genetic code in two manners: having more than one tRNA (with a specific anti-codon) for a particular amino acid; and 'wobble' base-pairing, i.e. permitting non-standard base-pairing at the 3rd anti-codon position.
Source: Rfam by way of RNAcentral